This 214-nucleotide ribosomal RNA is filed under the name uncultured bacterium. Its description in RNAcentral is "partial 16S ribosomal RNA". It matches the Rfam family "Bacterial small subunit ribosomal RNA", at positions 28 to 244 of the family's 1533-position model. The record is from RNAcentral.
GACGAACGCUGGCGGCGUGCUUAACACAUGCAAGUCGAGCGGUAACAGGCGUAGCAAUACGUGCUGACGAGCGGCGAACGGGUGCGUAAUACAUCGGAAUCUGCCUCGUAGUGGGGAAUAACCCGGCGAAAGCCGGGCUAAUGCCGCAUACGAUCCACGGAUGAAAGCGGGGACGUAAGGCCUCGCGCUAUGAGAUGAGCCGAUGUCGGAUUAG